AUGAAAUCCUUCCCGGGAUGGUUGGAGGCAGCGCCUGCUCCCAGCACCGCUCAGGGAAGCCUUAAUGAAAAGCAGCUCAUCAGCAGUUACGUAACCUAAUGAUAAUCCAGCUCAGGCCGGGCAAUGCUUAAAGCCACAGCGUCUCUCUGCUGUGACCUAUUUUAUGCUCGAUGCAAGGGCAAAAGUAUGCAGUGUGUAACUUCGCCGGGUCUCUUACGUCGAGUCGUUGCCUGUCGUAGGGUAAAUACACCGUUCCUCAUCACGCCGGACAAGUUAAUGACACAGCUGGUUGCAGAAAGGAGCUUGUAACGUUGCGCCGAGCUGAAGAAACACCGCCUGUUAUGUGUAGCACGGAAGAGGAAUGAGGAUCCACUGCAUGAUUCCAUCAGUCUACAAUUCUAUGAUUCAACAUUUUUCUUUGCUUUGGUUGCUUUUCUUCCCCAUUUAUGCAUAUGGAACAACUUUCCCUGUUGGUCAGCUGCUGUGGCUGCAGAUAGGAGCAAGAAGGGAGCUGGAGCAGAGCAAGGGCAGGGAAAAUUGGUCCAAUUCAGUGACAGUUCCAGCCUCAAACACGGGUAGCUCUGUGUGUCUCCUGCUAUCAGUCUGUGCUACUCCUGCAGCAAGCUGGAUCCAUGACAUUGCCAGUGCUUUGGGGUGCUGGCAUCCGGGCUCUGAGCUCAUGAGGGUCCUAUGUGAGGUUAGAGAAUCACACUAUCAUGAAAUUAUGGAAUCAUUAGGGGUUAGGAGGGACCUCUGGAGAUCAUCAACCCCCUGCUAAAGCAGGUUCUCUGCAGUCAGUACAAAUGGCAAUAACCUGACUUGGAGAGGUUGCCUGUGCUCUGGCUGGCUGAAAAUUACUACGAAGAAGAUUUACAGUGGAGCACUGUCGUUGGAGUGACCAGAGAUGUGAAAGGAGAAUCAACAUGCCCAUUAAAACUGAAUGAAUGUAAAAUCCCACAGCAGAGUGGAAACUGAAACUGGGAAUGGGAAGUGCUCAGAUUGUGUCUCUGUCCUUUUGGUAUACGGGAUCCUCCCCGAGCAAGCAGCAACCUGUCGUUUCAGCAAUGCAAGGCUUCCCCUCAGUGGCAACAAGGCAGCAGGGUGUCCUGCUGCUACACCACAAUAAAAGCAUUUUGCUUUUUUUUUUUUUUUUUCUUCAAAGGCAAAGUCCAGUAAAAAUGUGGCUCUGAAGUAAAGGAAAUAUUUACAGCAGAGGCUGCUGGCUGGGCUGGGUGUAAUGGUAUACAGCAAUACAAGAGGCCAAAGUGAUACUACUUUAUGAGCCAAGAGUUUUUAACUCUUUUGGUAUAGGAGACAGCUGCCUACACGAGGCACUUAGGGAACAAAUGAAACUUGAGCGGUGUCAUACUGGGAUCAUAGAAUAUGGACAAAAGCAACAGAAAGGAGUAUAUUUUUUUACAAGAAAAGGAUUAACUGGAGAACAGUGGUUGCAGUGCUAAAGCUCCUACCCAAGUGCAGCUGGCGAGAUUGCUGACAGCGCAGGGGGCUCUCCCAGAAAUGAGUUCUUCCUGCAAAAAUACCCAUCCCCAUCAACAUCUAUUAUCUAAAAGGUGAUGUCCAGGUUGAUUUAAUUUCCAGUCCUGGAAAUGAAAUGGGACCAUGGUAUUAGGAGACAUGUGAGCUCAGAUUAUGCAUACAAAAAAGACGACAGCCAAAUUGUCUAUGUACGGGCAGACUGCAUUUGCCUUACCCCAAAAGAUUUACCAGUUGCUAUGGUUACUCAAUAUUACAGCUCAAUAGAUUGGUAAUGUGAACUGAUAGAUCUAGAAAUACACUGCAAGAUGGAAUUAAAGAGGUCCUGCUGAAACACAGCCUGAAAAAUCCUGUGCUCCUGAUGAGGCGGAAACACUUUGCUGCUGACGGGCUGGUCAUGGUUCCCAGAUGCGUGGCAGGGGUCCCACCAAAUAGCAGUGAGAUGUGUGCUUGGUGUCUUGUGCAGCCAGAGGUGUAAAACACACGUCAAAGGGAUAAUAAAACACAGUCCAAACUGUCUCACAUGGAAUCUCUUGAGUAAAUCAUGGCCGAGUCUCAGCAAGUACAGG
RNAcentral lists this long non-coding RNA (2063 nucleotides) under Gallus gallus (chicken). RNAcentral describes it as "lncRNA (ENSGALG00010011576.1)". The record is from RNAcentral. Lineage: Eukaryota; Metazoa; Chordata; Aves; Galliformes; Phasianidae.